RNAcentral lists this ribosomal RNA (497 nucleotides) under uncultured bacterium. RNAcentral describes it as "partial 16S ribosomal RNA". It matches the Rfam family "Bacterial small subunit ribosomal RNA", at positions 28 to 507 of the family's 1533-position model. The record is from RNAcentral.
GAUGAACGCUGGCGGCGUGCCUAAUACAUGCAAGUCGAGCGAACAGACGAGGAGCUUGCUCCUCUGACGUUAGCGGCGGACGGGUGAGUAACACGUGGAUAACCUACCUAUAAGACUGGGAUAACUUCGGGAAACCGGAGCUAAUACCGGAUAACAUUUUGAACCGCAUGGUUCAACAGUGAAAGACGGUCUUGCUGUCACUUAUAGAUGGAUCCGCGCCGCAUUAGCUAGUUGGUAAGGUAACGGCUUAACAAGGCAACGAUGCAUAGCCGACCCGAAAGGGAGAUCGGCCAGACGGGAUCUGAGAAACGGUCCGGACACCUGGGGGAGGCGACGGUAGGGAAUCUUCCGCGAGGGGCGAAAGCCUAACGGAGCAACGCGGCGUAAGUCAAGAAGGUCUUCGGAUCGUAAAGCUCUGUUAUUAGGGAAGAACAAAUGUGUAAGUAACUGUGCACAUCUUGACGGUACCUAAUCAGAAAGCCACGGCUAACUACGUG